CGGGUGAGUAACGCGUGGAUAACCUGCCUUACACUGGGGGAUAACACUUAGAAAUAGGUGCUAAUACCGCAUAAGCGCACAGAGCCGCAUGGCUCAGUGUGAAAAACUUCGGUGGUGUAAGAUGGAUCCGCGUCUGAUUAGCUGGUUGGCGGGGUAGAAGCCCACCAAGGCGACGAUCAGUAGCCGGCCUGAGAGGGUGAACGGCCACAUUGGGACUGAGACACGGCCCAAACUCCUACGGAAGGCAGCAG
This 251-nucleotide ribosomal RNA is filed under the name uncultured bacterium. RNAcentral's name for it is "partial 16S ribosomal RNA". It matches the Rfam family "Bacterial small subunit ribosomal RNA", at positions 103 to 354 of the family's 1533-position model. The record is from RNAcentral.